This 72-nucleotide transfer RNA is filed under the name Planctomycetales bacterium. Its description in RNAcentral is "tRNA-Lys". It matches the Rfam family "tRNA". Rfam says of the family: Transfer RNA (tRNA) molecules are approximately 80 nucleotides in length. Their secondary structure includes four short double-helical elements and three loops (D, anti-codon, and T loops). Lineage: Bacteria; Pseudomonadati; Planctomycetota; Planctomycetia; Planctomycetales. The record is from RNAcentral.
GGGACCGAGGUGUUACGGCAGCAUCGCUGGCUCUUAACCAGUCGGGUCGGGGUUCGAAUCCCUGCGGUCUCA